RNAcentral lists this ribosomal RNA (216 nucleotides) under Glomeromycotina sp. Its description in RNAcentral is "partial small subunit ribosomal RNA". The stretch from base 44 to 216 matches the Rfam family "Eukaryotic small subunit ribosomal RNA", at positions 690 to 864 of the family's 1831-position model. The record is from RNAcentral. Lineage: Eukaryota; Fungi; Glomeromycota.
GGGUCAGUAGGUUGGUCGUGCCACCGGUACGUACUGGUCUCACUGAUUCCUCCUUCCUGAAGAACCGUAAUGCCAUUAAUUUGGUGUUGCGGGGAAACAGGACUGUUACUUUGAAAAAAUUAGAGUGCUUAAAGCAAGCUGACGCUUGAAUACAUUAGCAUGGAAUAAUGAAAUAGGACGAUCGAUCCUAUUUUGUUGGUUUCCAGGAUUGACGUA